UAAGGAAUAUUGGUCAAUGGACGCAAGUCUGAACCAGCCAUGCCGCGUGGAGGAUGAAGGUCCUCUGGAUUGUAAACUUCUUUUAUCUGGGAAGAAACCCAUGGAUUUUUCUGUGGUUGACGGUACCAGAUGAAUAAGCACCGGCUAACUCCGUGCCAGCAGCCGCGGUAAUACGGAGGGUGCAAGCGUUAUCCGGAUUCACUGGGUUUAAAGGGUGCGUAGGUGGGUUGGUAAGUCAGUGGUGAAAUCUCCGGGCUUAACCCGGAAACUGCCAUUGAUACUAUCAGUCUUGAAUACCGUGGAGGUCAGCGGAAUAUGUCAUGUAGCGGUGAAAUGCUUAGAUAUGACAUAGAACACCAAUUGCGAAGGCAGCUGGCUACACGAAUAUUGACACUGAGGCACGAAAGCGUGGGGAUCAAACAGGAUUAGAUACCCUGGUAGUCCACGCC
RNAcentral lists this ribosomal RNA (449 nucleotides) under uncultured bacterium. Its description in RNAcentral is "bacterial SSU rRNA". It matches the Rfam family "Bacterial small subunit ribosomal RNA", at positions 355 to 801 of the family's 1533-position model. The record is from RNAcentral.